This 114-nucleotide ribosomal RNA is filed under the name Ralstonia pickettii. RNAcentral describes it as "16S ribosomal RNA". It matches the Rfam family "Bacterial small subunit ribosomal RNA", at positions 1421 to 1533 of the family's 1533-position model. Lineage: Bacteria; Pseudomonadati; Pseudomonadota; Betaproteobacteria; Burkholderiales; Burkholderiaceae. The record is from RNAcentral.
UACGAGUAGUUAGCCUAACCGCAAGGAGGGCGAUUACCACGGUAGGGUUCAUGACUGGGGUGAAGUCGUAACAAGGUAGCCGUAUCGGAAGGUGCGGCUGGAUCACCUCCUUUA